RNAcentral lists this ribosomal RNA (256 nucleotides) under uncultured bacterium. RNAcentral describes it as "partial 16S ribosomal RNA". It matches the Rfam family "Bacterial small subunit ribosomal RNA", at positions 29 to 311 of the family's 1533-position model. The record is from RNAcentral.
AACGAACGCUGGCGGCAUGCCUAACACAUGCAAGUCGAACGCGUGUAGCAAUACAUGAGUGGCGGACGGGUGAGUAACGCGUGGGAACCUGCCCAGUGGUAGGGAAUAACUGCGGGAAACUGGCAGCUAAUACCCUAUACGCCCUUUGGGGGAAAGAUUCAUCGCCAUUGGAGGGGCCCGCGUCGGAUUAGCUAGUUGGCGGGGUAACGCCCACCAAGGCAACGAUCCGUAGCUGGCUGAGAGGAUGAUCAGCCAC